CUCGGAGAAGGGAGGGGGUGGGGGGAAACACGGGAAAAGUGGGAGAAAGUGGCGGGUGUCUCUUUUUUUUUUCACAGGGGGGGGAGACAUGUGCACGUCUUUCCUCUCUUGUUUACCCUUGCUCUCACUCUCUCACUCUCACUCUCACACACCUGUGCACCUGUUGUAGGUCCUCGAAAGAGGGAAUCCUAUGUUUUUUCAUAUCACACCUCGUCAUAUGUUUAUAGAAUGUAUUGAAAACGUCGACUCAUUUCGAUGGGAUUGGCGUGAUCAAUAAAUUAAUAAAUCAAUACAACUUUCAGCAACGGAUCUCUUGGCUCUCGCAUCGAUGAAGAACGCAGCGAAUUGCGAUAAGUAAUGUGAAUUGCAGAUUUUCAGUGAAUCAUCGAAUCUUUGAACGCACCUUGCGCUCCUUGGUAUUCCGAGGAGCAUGCCUGUUUGAGUGUCAUUGAAUUCUCAACCAUGUCUUGAUUGAUUUUUCGAGGCAUGGCUUGGACUCUGGGGGUUGCUGGUGGCGGAAAAGCUGCCGGCUCUCCUGAAAUGCAUUAGCAGAGGGCGGGCAAGUCUUUUGACGUGCACGGCCUUCGACGUGAUAAUGAUCGUCGUGGCUGGAGCGUUUGGACAUGCAUGAAUAUCCGUUCCUACGCUUCUAAUUCCCCUCCACCUCACUACUAUAUUAGCCUUUCAAGGCUGCUUUAGCUACUAGUUGGUCGUGAGGCUGACGAACGC
This 729-nucleotide unclassified non-coding RNA is filed under the name Boletus pinophilus. Its description in RNAcentral is "partial contains ITS1, 5.8S rRNA and ITS2". The stretch from base 294 to 448 matches the Rfam family "5.8S ribosomal RNA". The record is from RNAcentral. Lineage: Eukaryota; Fungi; Basidiomycota; Agaricomycetes; Boletales; Boletaceae.